Molecule: ribosomal RNA, 196 nt
Filed under: uncultured bacterium
Lineage: Bacteria
Description: partial 16S ribosomal RNA
Rfam family: Bacterial small subunit ribosomal RNA
Source: RNAcentral
CCUACGGGAGGCAGCAGUGGGGAAUAUUGGGCAAUGGGAGAAAUCNUGACCCAGCAACGCCGCGUGGAGGACGAAGGCCUUCGGGUUGUAAACUCCUGUCAGCAGGGAAAAAGGCUAUAAAAGCUAAUACCUUAUAUAGUUUGAUGGUACCUGCAGAGGAAGCACCGGCUAACUACGUGCCAGCAGCCGCGGUAAU